Molecule: unclassified non-coding RNA, 207 nt
Filed under: Hevea brasiliensis (rubber tree)
Lineage: Eukaryota; Viridiplantae; Streptophyta; Magnoliopsida; Malpighiales; Euphorbiaceae
Source: RNAcentral
GUGUUUUUGGUUUUAGGGUGCUUAAUCACAAUUCUACAGGUAUCUCACCAAGCAGCUGACCCAAGGUUAAAACAAUGUUCAAAGAAACUCGUGGAACAUAUCGAAAAGUUGGAUUUUAGGCAACCUCCAAAAUGUCUGGAUAAAGGCAAGUUGGCGAAUGUUAUCGAAGCGGUUGGAAUCUUCAAGACCUUCUACGACCGUCUCCCG